RNAcentral lists this transfer RNA (88 nucleotides) under Candidatus Woesebacteria bacterium. RNAcentral describes it as "tRNA-Ser". It matches the Rfam family "tRNA". From Rfam's summary of the family: Transfer RNA (tRNA) molecules are approximately 80 nucleotides in length. Their secondary structure includes four short double-helical elements and three loops (D, anti-codon, and T loops). Lineage: Bacteria; Candidatus Woeseibacteriota. The record is from RNAcentral.
GGAAGGUUGCCCGAGUGGUUAAGGGAACAGGUUGCUAACCUGUAGUUGCGCAAGCGGCUCGUAGGUUCGAUUCCUACACUUUCCGCCA